GACGAACGCUGGCGGCGUGCUUAACACAUGCAAGUCGAACGCUGAAGCUUGGUGCUUGCACUGGGUGGAUGUGUGGCGAACGGGUGAGUAAUACGUGAGUAACCUGCGCUUGACUCUGGGAUAAACCUGGGAAACUGGGUCUAAUACUGUAUAUGACAUGACACUGCAUGGUGUUGUGUGGAAAGGGUUUUACUGGUUUUGGAUGGGCUCACGGCAUAUCAUCUUGUUGGUGGGGUAAUGGCCUACCAAGGCGACGACGUGUAGCCGGCCUGAGAGGGUGACAGGCCACACUGGCAUUGAGAAACGGCCAAGAGUCAUACGGGAGGAAGCAGUGGGGAAUAGUGCACACUGGGCGGAAGCAUGAUGCAGCGACGCCGCGUGAGGGAUGACGGCCUUCGGGUUGUAACGCUCUUUCAGCACGGAAGAAGCGAGAGUGACGGUACGUGAAGAAGAAGCGACGGCUAACUACGUG
This 472-nucleotide ribosomal RNA is filed under the name uncultured bacterium. Its description in RNAcentral is "partial 16S ribosomal RNA". It matches the Rfam family "Bacterial small subunit ribosomal RNA", at positions 28 to 507 of the family's 1533-position model. The record is from RNAcentral.